This 443-nucleotide ribosomal RNA is filed under the name uncultured bacterium. Its description in RNAcentral is "partial 16S ribosomal RNA". It matches the Rfam family "Bacterial small subunit ribosomal RNA", at positions 338 to 795 of the family's 1533-position model. The record is from RNAcentral.
CCUACGGGUGGCAGCAGUGGGGAAUAUUUCACAAUGGGCGAAAGCCUGAUGCAGCAACGCCGCGUGAAGGAAGACGGUUUUCGGAUUGUAAACUUCUAUCAAUAGGGAAGAAAGAAAUGACGGUACCUAAAUAAGAUGCCCCGGCUAACUACGUUCCAGCAGCCGCGGUAAUACGCAGGGGGCAAGCGUUAUCCGGAAUUACUGGGUGUAAGGGGAGAGUAGGCGGCAAGGUACGCGAUAUGUGAAAGCCUUAAGCUUAACUAAAGGAUUGCAUAACGAACUAUCUAGCUAGAGUACAGGAGAGGAAAGCGGAAUUCCUAGUGUAGCGGUGAAAUGCGUAGAUAUUAGGAAGAACACCAGUGGCGAUGGCGGCUUUCUGGACUGAAACUGACGCUGAGGCUCGAAAGCGUGGGGAGCGAACAGGAUUAGAUACCCGUGUAGUC